GCCUCCCCGGCAGUUGCGGCUGCCAGUGCCGUGGCUGCUGAGGACCCCCUGCUGCAGCGGUCUCUGUGGUCAGAGCCGUCCCCUCGGUGAAAUGUCUGCACUUCACCCUGCCUAGUCGCGCUCGCGUUCCUCUCACUCAGCACCUGAGCGGCCCCCGGACCCUCUGCGCGCACCUCUGGGGCUGACAAACCCGCUCCGACAGCGUUUCCCACGCCUCGGACUGCAGGUGAUGCUCUUCCUCUUCUGCAGCUGAAAUUCGUCGCGACGUGUCGCUUGCUCGGUUUUUGCAGGGUGGAAGCAGGAGCCGUCUCUGCAGACUGGACUGGACGACUUGUACUUUAUACUCCUCCAACUUCUGGAUGUGAUAUGUUAAAUACUUUUU
RNAcentral lists this long non-coding RNA (382 nucleotides) under Marmota monax (woodchuck). Lineage: Eukaryota; Metazoa; Chordata; Mammalia; Rodentia; Sciuridae. The record is from RNAcentral.